GACGAACGCUGGCGGCGUGCUUAACACAUGCAAGUCGAACGGAAAGGCCCUGCUUUUGUGGGGUGCUCGAGUGGCGAACGGGUGAGUAACGCGUGAGUAACCUGCCCUUGACUUUGGGAUAACUUCAGAAAACUGGGGCUAAUACCGGAUAGGAGCUCCUGCUGCAUGGUGGGGGUUGGAAAGUUUCGGCGGUUGGGGAUGGACUCGCGGCUUAUCAGCUUGUUGGUGGGGUAGUGGCUUACCAAGGCUUUGACGGGUAGCCGGCCUGAGAGGGUGACCGGCCACAUUGGGACUGAGAUACGGCCCAGACUCCUACGGGAGGCAGCAGUGGGGAAUAUUGCACAAUGGGCGGAAGCCUGAUGCAGCAACGCCGCGUGCGGGAUGACGGCCUUCGGGUUGUAAACCGCUUUCGCCUGUGACGAAGCGUGAGUGACGGUAAUGGGUAAAGAAGCACCGGCUAACUACGUG
This 468-nucleotide ribosomal RNA is filed under the name uncultured bacterium. RNAcentral's name for it is "partial 16S ribosomal RNA". It matches the Rfam family "Bacterial small subunit ribosomal RNA", at positions 28 to 507 of the family's 1533-position model. The record is from RNAcentral.